AGUGAACGCUGGCGGCGUGCUUAACACAUGCAAGUCGAACGAGAACGGAUUAUAGCUUGCUAUAAUUGUCAGCUAAGUGGCGCACGGGUGAGUAAUGUAUAGAUAACCUGCCCUUAAGAAAGGAAUAACAGUUGGAAACGACUGCUAAUGCCCUAUAUGCCUUUAAUACAUAAGUAUGCAAGGGAAACGCUUUAGUGCUUAAGGAUGGGUCUGUAUGGUAUCAGCUUGUUGGUGAGGUAAUGGCUCACCAAGGCUAUGACGCCUAACUGGUUUGAGAGGAUGAUCAGUCACACCGGAACUGAGACACGGUCCAGACUCCUACGGGAGGCAGCAGUGGGGAAUAUUGCACAAUGGACGAAAGUCUGAUGCAGCAACGCCGCGUGGAGGAUGACACAUUUCGGUGCGUAAACUCCUUUUAUAUAGGAAGAUAAUGACGGUACUAUAUGAAUAAGCACCGGCUAACUCCGUGCCAGCAGCCGCGGUAAUACGGAGGGUGCAAGCGUUACUCGGAAUCACUGGGCGCAAAGAGCGUGUAGGCGGGUAUAUAAGUCAGAAGUGAAAUCCAAUAGCUCAACUAUUGAACUGCUUUUGAAACUGUAUACCUAGAAUGUGGGAGAGGUAGAUGGAAUUUCUGGUGUAGGGGUAAAAUCCGUAGAGAUCAGAAGGAAUACCGAUUGCGAAGGCGAUCUACUGGAACAUUAUUGACGCUGAAACGCGAAAGCGUGGGGAGCAAACAGG
RNAcentral lists this ribosomal RNA (738 nucleotides) under uncultured Arcobacter sp. RNAcentral describes it as "bacterial SSU rRNA". It matches the Rfam family "Bacterial small subunit ribosomal RNA", at positions 28 to 776 of the family's 1533-position model. Lineage: Bacteria; Pseudomonadati; Campylobacterota; Epsilonproteobacteria; Campylobacterales; Arcobacteraceae. The record is from RNAcentral.